This is a long non-coding RNA of Strigops habroptila (Kakapo), 679 nucleotides long. RefSeq lists it as uncharacterized. The transcript has 3 exons. Lineage: Eukaryota; Metazoa; Chordata; Aves; Psittaciformes; Psittacidae. The record is from RefSeq and is a predicted model, not a curated record.
ACGAGGCCACUGAGUCACCAGCACGAAGCACUGACCAGCUCAUGCACAUCACUGGGGAGGACACAAAAUCCCCUCCAAAGAAGAGAACAGAAGAGACAUCUUUCUUCAGCUGUGAGCAGAGGAAAUGUGGGUUAGGGGUACAUCUUUGCCAGUGCUCCCUCCCCAAGCCAGGGGAUUCCUGCAGCUGCACCUGCAGCACUCUGAGGUGGUGAUCCUUGUCCUGGAGCAGAGCUUCAGCUCUAGGAACCCAUGAAGGACUCCCACAUAACAGCUUAGGAGCUGCUGUUCAUGGUGUGGGACAUGGGUGCAGAGGAAGGAGUCCUGGCGUCUGACCCGGAACAUACACUCCCAUGGUGUGGCUUUGCUAAUCUGGGCUGCUUUCUGCCCAAGAGCAACAGUUACCAAAAUAUUGUUCUUAUCAUCAUCACAGUCAAGUAUUCCCUUUUAACUCCUAAGGCUGAAAUAACCUUGAUGCUAACUCAGACCUGCCGGGUACCACACACUGUUCAGGCUCUGUGGGAACACAUCUACAGCUGCUGCACUGAGCUCCAAUUGUUUUCUCUUUGGAUUAUGCUGUCUCUGGACUUUUUCAUCUUUCUUACCAAUAUAAGGUCAUAUUUCAUUCAAAUAAAACUUGAUUGGAGUGUGAGAAAUCACUUUUAUUUCUAUCUUCGGAAAG